CAAAUCUCAUUUAAAGCUGGCUUUAUGCACAGGAAGUCAAGAGUUAAGCAACCUAGCUGAUUAAACCAGGUGCCAUUAUUGAAAGAGUGGGAAAUAUUGCCCAUUUGCUUAUUAUGCUGAAAUGCCAUUAGUCCAGUCAGCUUUAAUGGAUAGGUUGCUACGAGGCCCAUGUUCUCAUUCUAAUGCCACCGACAUGUUAUUUAUUGUUGAAUGACAUUGCAAUGUGCUAGUUCUGAAUGUGGUUUUUCAACAAAUGGCGCUCUCUUAAUAUUUUGACUGAAAUGUUAUUCAUGUUAUUUAAUAGGCCUUUUGUUGUUGGGAGCUGCUCUGUCGUGCAAACAAAUCAGCCCAAGAGCUGCACGCAAAUAUCAAAUCAAUACCGAAGAUCAGAAUUUAUGACUGAAAUUCUGGCAGUGGAGGAGAGGGGAAAAGCACAGGUGGCAAACCAGAGCUCCGCUCGCCUCGCCGACUGCAGUGGAUCGUGCCGUCCACACUAAUCAGCCGCCGCUUCGACGGGCAGCGAUGGCCUUCCUCUCCCCAGACGCGAUGACGACAGCCGGCUCUCUGCCGGAGAAGCAGGGGUGACGUCAUGUCAGCGGCUCAGGAAUCCGCGGCUUGGACCUGCAGAGGGCCCUGCUGCCAGCUUCGCUUCCGAUUCCGAAGCCAGAUCUGCCCACCACCACCCCUUUUUUUCUUCUCCAUCUUGCUAUAGAGGUGACCCCUGGUUUCCUGCUGUUCUUCCUUCCUUGCCCGAUUCAAGGCUCAAGAGUUUUGUUAAAUCUUCCCUCACCCCAAGAUCUGCCUGUCUAGAACCCCACCAGAUUCAAGCCGCCUUGGGUUUCUUUUUAAGGAGAAAGACGGGAUCAAAAUAUAUUAAAUAAAUAAAUAAUAAAUACUCCA
Molecule: long non-coding RNA, 900 nt
Filed under: Pogona vitticeps (central bearded dragon)
Lineage: Eukaryota; Metazoa; Chordata; Lepidosauria; Squamata; Agamidae
Description: lncRNA (ENSPVIG00000011117.1)
Source: RNAcentral